RNAcentral lists this ribosomal RNA (737 nucleotides) under Caldanaerobacter sp. enrichment culture. Its description in RNAcentral is "bacterial SSU rRNA". It matches the Rfam family "Bacterial small subunit ribosomal RNA", at positions 28 to 774 of the family's 1533-position model. The record is from RNAcentral. Lineage: Bacteria; Bacillati; Bacillota; Clostridia; Thermoanaerobacterales; Thermoanaerobacteraceae.
GACGAACGCUGGCGGCGUGCCUAACACAUGCAAGUCGAGCGGGCCUGUCAAGGCGUUAUGUUUUGGCAGGUUUAGCGGCGGACGGGUGAGUAACGCGUGAGCAACCUACCCUUGAGACAGGGAUAACCCUGGGAAACCGGGGCUAAUACCUGAUAUACUCUAUUAGGGCAUCCUGAUGGAGGAAAGGGCGGGAAGCCGCUCAAGGAUGGGCUCGCGUCCCAUCAGCUAGUUGGUGAGGUAACGGCUCACCAAGGCGACGACGGGUAGCCGGCCUGAGAGGGUGGUCGGCCACACUGGGACUGAGACACGGCCCAGACUCCUACGGGAGGCAGCAGUGGGGAAUCUUCCGCAAUGGGCGAAAGCCUGACGGAGCGACGCCGCGUGAGCGAAGAAGGCCUUCGGGUCGUAAAGCUCGAUAGUGUGGGAAGAAGGAAUGACGGUACCACACGAGAGCCCCGGCUAACUACGUGCCAGCAGCCGCGGUAAGACGUAGGGGGCGAGCGUUGUCCGGAGUUACUGGGCGUAAAGGGCGCGUAGGCGGUCUAGCAAGUCAGGUGUAAAAGGCCACGGCUCAACCGUGGAUAUGCAUCUGAAACUGCUGAGCUAGAGGGCAGGAGAGGGGAGUGGAAUUCCUGGUGUAGCGGUGAAAUGCGCAGAUAUCAGGAGGAACACCAGUGGCGAAGGCGGCUUUCUGGGCCACGACUGACGCUGAGGCGCGAAAGCGUGGGGAGCAAACA